RNAcentral lists this ribosomal RNA (630 nucleotides) under Acinetobacter sp. RNAcentral's name for it is "bacterial SSU rRNA". It matches the Rfam family "Bacterial small subunit ribosomal RNA", at positions 54 to 679 of the family's 1533-position model. The record is from RNAcentral. Lineage: Bacteria; Pseudomonadati; Pseudomonadota; Gammaproteobacteria; Moraxellales; Moraxellaceae.
CAUGCAGUCGAGCGGAGAUGAGGUGCUUGCACCUUAUCUUAGCGGCGGACGGGUGAGUAAUGCUUAGGAAUCUGCCUAUUAGUGGGGGACAACAUUUCGAAAGGAAUGCUAAUACCGCAUACGCCCUACGGGGGAAAGCAGGGGAUCUUCGGACCUUGCGCUAAUAGAUGAGCCUAAGUCGGAUUAGCUAGUUGGUGGGGUAAAGGCCUACCAAGGCGACGAUCUGUAGCGGGUCUGAGAGGAUGAUCCGCCACACUGGGACUGAGACACGGCCCAGACUCCUACGGGAGGCAGCAGUGGGGAAUAUUGGACAAUGGGGGGAACCCUGAUCCAGCCAUGCCGCGUGUGUGAAGAAGGCCUUUUGGUUGUAAAGCACUUUAAGCGAGGAGGAGGAGCUCUAGAUUAAUACUCUAGAUGCUUGGACGUUACUCGCAGAAUAAGCACCGGCUAACUCUGUGCCAGCAGCCGCGGUAAUACAGAGGGUGCAAGCGUUAAUCGGAUUUACUGGGCGUAAAGCGUGCGUAGGUGGUCUUUUAAGUCGGAUGUGAAAUCCCUGAGCUUAACUUAGGAAUUGCAUUCGAUACUGGGAGACUAGAGUAUGGGAGAGGAUGGUAGAAUUCCAGGUGUAGC